This 492-nucleotide ribosomal RNA is filed under the name uncultured bacterium. Its description in RNAcentral is "partial 16S ribosomal RNA". It matches the Rfam family "Bacterial small subunit ribosomal RNA", at positions 29 to 507 of the family's 1533-position model. The record is from RNAcentral.
AGUGAACGCUGGCGGUAGGCCUAACACAUGCCAGUCGAACGGCAGCACAGUAAGAGCUUGCUCUUACGGGUGGCGAGUGGCGGACGGGUGAGGAAUACAUCGGAAUCUACUUUUUCGUGGGGGAUAACGUAGGGAAACUUACGCUAAUACCGCAUACGACCUACGGGUGAAAGCAGGGGAUCUUCGGACCUUGCGCGAUUGAAUGAGCCGAUGUCGGAUUAGCUAGUUGGCGGGGUAAAGGCCCACCACGGCGACGAUCCGUAGCUGGUCUGAGAGGAUGAUCAGCAACACUGGAAUUGAGACACGGUCCAGACUCCUACGGGAGGCAGCAGUGGGGAAUAUUGGACAAUGGGCGCAAGCCUGAUCCAGCCAUACCGCGUGGGUGAAGAAGGCCUUCGGGUUGUAAAGCCCUUUUGUUGGGAAAGAAAAGCAGCAGGUUAAUACCCCGCUGUUCUGACGGUACCCAAAGAAUAAGCACCGGCUAACUUCGUG